AUGGACAGCACUAGUAUCGAGAUCCAAGAGAUGGUGAGGAAUACAAGUGACAGGCUGGAGGCCGAUUUCUCCAAGCUUGGAACCAAGAUCCACAAAUUCCCACGAGGCCUACGGCAGGGGAUCAACGAACGCUACAUCACCCCGAGCUUCGUGUCCCUCGGCCCAUACCACCAUGGCUCAACGCACCUCCGGGAGACGGAGGAGUUGAAGCACGCAGCGGCCCACUACCUGUGCCGGAAGUCGGGUCACACAGUCGAGGAAGUCUACAGCAAAAUCCUUUCCAUCGCCGGUGCAGCCCGCGGCUGCUACGCUGAUGAUGCGGCGGCAGGUAUCACCGACUCUGAAUUUGCAGUAAUGAUGUUCCUCGAUGGUUGCUAUCUGCUGCACUAUAUGGACAUGGAUUUCACACGUCCUAUGUUGACCAAUCGGAUGAUCUUGUCCACGGGACCUUGCAUGCUAAGGGAUAUCUUUCUAUUGGAGAACCAACUUCCUUGGUUGGUUCUAGAGGCUCUUACGGACAUUUUGAUGACAUCUCCUGCAUAUCAUUUUGUGGUUGGUUAUGCACAAUUUUUCAAUGUCACCCCUUCAUCAACUUCAGAUUCAAACACAAGGAUCACUAUGGAUGAACUCGAUAAGUACAAGCCGCCACAUCUCCUUGGGCUCCUCCGACACUAUCAGAUCGGCAAUAUGAUUGACGACGGUCGUAUUGACAAUCUCGCAUACUUCUCCUCAGCCAGUAGUGCCAUUGAGCUGGCGGAACUCGGCAUCAAGCUGACCGCCACCAACAAACCAUGGUUCGCAGACAUGAGCAUCCACAUAGACCACCUCUUCGGCCAGCUCUCCCUGACGCCAUUGUUCAUAGAUGACAUCACUGCUUGCUAA
RNAcentral lists this ribosomal RNA (882 nucleotides) under Triticum aestivum (bread wheat). RNAcentral describes it as "partial small subunit ribosomal RNA". Lineage: Eukaryota; Viridiplantae; Streptophyta; Magnoliopsida; Poales; Poaceae. The record is from RNAcentral.